Molecule: non-coding RNA, 5686 nt
Organism: Triticum urartu
Lineage: Eukaryota; Viridiplantae; Streptophyta; Magnoliopsida; Poales; Poaceae
Source: RefSeq, a predicted model, not a curated record
CUCGAGCCAGAAAUAGUCACACGCACGACUCUCUGCCCUCAUUCGCCCGCCGCCGCCCUUCGUCCCUUCACCGCCACCGCUCCAUCCAUUCGCCGCCGCCGCUCCAUCCCUUCGCCGCCGCCCUCCCACAUCAAAGCCGGCGCCGCUCCAUCCCUUCGCCGCCGCCUCUCGAUCUUCUGCCUAGGGUUCCCCGCCGACGCUACCCCUCCCUCGAGCGUGGGCGGCCACCGGCGAAGGAUGCCCGCUCCCCCUCCUCUCCGGCCAGACCGGUCUCCCCCCUAACCACAAAGUGGGCGCACGCGGUGCGGGCUCCGGCGAACGCGGCCGCACGCGAUCCAGAGGCCCGGCGGCGCCCACAUCCCUCGCCUCUCUGGUCACACGUCGCCUCCCUAACCACGAAGUGGGCGCACGCGGGGUGGGAUCCGGCGAACGCGGCCACGCGCGAUCCAGCGGCCUGGCGGCGCCCGCAUCCCUCUCCUCUCCGAUUGCAUGUCUCCUCCCUUCCUACAAAGUGGGUGCACGCAGGGCGGCCACUCCGCCAACCGACUCCAGGAGCUCUGCUUUCGCAACGGCAACAUCUACAUCAAGCUCGGCCAGCACAUCGCACAACUGGUACGGAAAGGAAUUCCUAACUCUGUGAGGAUACGCCUGAAUUCACUUUGGAUUCAUCUGUGGUAAGAUUGCAUAAUUUUGUGGCUGUGGAACAGCUGCUUGUUUGCUUGUACUACCACAGGUGUAUGUGCAGACGAUGAGGGCGCCGAUGCUCAAGAGGUCGUCCGCGGAGUCAUCAAGAAAGAGAAUGGAGAAUUGCCACAAACUCUUAGUUCCUUCAUUGCAUCACGGCAUUGUCUUACACCCUUCUGAACUAACUUCGUUGUUGUAUUGAUUAGCAAAACCAAACAAUCAGACUGAGUGUGCUUAGUUCAGUUGUUGGCCAACAGAGUAUUCACCUUGAAUCAGAACCUGGAUUUAUGCUCAGCUUGUUUUUAGCUUAGAAGAAACUCUGACAUAAAAUUUGGCUUUCCCCUAUUCCCGUUGGUGUAGGUUUUUGCAUAAUUCUUCAUUGUCCUGCUUGCAAGUGCUUUUCUUGUGCAAGUCCAUGCGUCCACAACACAUGAUGGAAAAAAAAGUUGAUGUCAAGAUUGUUGUUAUUAUAUAAGAAAAGACUGCAGUUCAUUCGUUCACUUAUGUUAAGUUUGAACUCUUCAAUUAUGACAGCAGAGUUCACCAGCAUGUUGUCUGUCUUUCACUUUUUUGACCCCUGUUUUGGCUUACAGGUUCAACACGACCACUUGGUGGAUACUUCUGUAAUAGAUAUCACCACUGUGGAUUUAGUAGUGAAUUCUCUUCAUUAUAUUUUCCCUAAUUUUGACUACAGGUAAAACCAGUCAAUGGGUGCAACUGUUCUUUGUCUAUUACCUUGUUCUCUCUCUCCCUCUUUUUAACAUACCACCUCGAAAGCUUUUAGACUUAUGCUAAUUUUUAGAAUUAGUUAUGAUAGAGAGAAGGACUCUGAUCUGCAUGCUUUGACUGAUGGCAUCUUACCGAAAAAUGGCAGGUGGUAGUGUGAUAUUGUCGUGAAUUUUGCUCUCUUAUUUUAAUUAGCUUUAAUAUGAAAUAUCGCCAUGCUUCUAUGUAGGCAAGUAUGUUAAUUGGGUUGAUGUGGAGCUAGAGAAACUUGAGAGGACAUAGGAGGUGUUAUUGGGAAGUGUGCUAAAUUGUGUUUUUUAGGAAGACAAUCAUCUUAUACUAAAACGGAAAGACUAAGCUCAAUUCCAUGUUUGAAGUCUUGUAUACAUAAUGCUCUAAUUCAUACUGGACUGCUAUUCCUGACAUGGCAAUGGUUUCAGGGUAUUAUUUGAGCUGAUAUGGAGGGACUACUUCAGAUUUCAUCCAGCAAAAUAUGGGAACUCUAUUUUCUUACUAGGUAAAUAAAAUAUAAAUUUUUAUCAUUCUGAACUUUUGCCUUUCAUGUAUAUUACCGAAAGGAUGCACACAUGUUUUUCUUCUAAAGAAAUCUGCUGUGAUCAUUAAUUCUGAAAGAAAUCUGAAUAAUUGCCAGAGUGAGGAGGAAAAAGCAAGAAAAUUCUGAACAUUUUGGUCAUGGUCUUGGAGGAUGAUUGCUGGUGCAGUGCUCACUCAGUGCUCUAAUUUAGCUUAUUCGAGCUGUAGGUCUAGAUUAAUUUUUAUCUUAAUUGGAUGUCAAACGAUGAAUCAAACAGAGUUGGGGUUCAUCCAGGCUACAUAGGUCUGAUUGUAUUAGUGUCAGUUCCUUGAAGUCAAAGUACUACUAUGAUCGAAGAUAAAUACUUUUGAAGCGAUCGCCAAAGUGAUAGAAGACAAAAUACAAAUUAAAUCUUAAUGCGUACAUGUUUUAUUUGCUCCCAUGUAUUUGUUUGCAUCGUGUAUUUGUUUUACUUCAGAGAUGUGCUCCCUUCGUUGUUGGCUGUCGAAUUUGUGUUGCAGUUCAUACCCACCACGUUCGUGUCUUCACCACUUCGUCCUCCAGCACAAACGCCAGAAUGGAGCAAAAGCUGUGAUUUGCCAUGUCGGUAGACUGAUCCAGCUCGCGGCCAUGGGGUGCUAUGUCCGCGCCGGAGAACUGAUACAGCUCGCUGCCAGGGUGCCAUCCCUCUUCUGGCGUGCCAUAAAGCCCCUCGAUCGAAUCUCUGACUCAGCAAAUCAAAAUUGCCGACCCAGCCAAUCUCGUCGGAACAUCAUCUAGCUUGCCGUGCUCCACUCACUGUAAGUUUGUGUCAGUUUACAUGGCACUUAUCUCUUCUGGCUCACAGACACCUUCAAUGGACCUUUGCCACUGCUAACAGUCUGUAUUGUACACUCCGGGACCAAGGCGAUCGACAUUUUCUUGGCUGGUCGAUGGUGAUUGCUCCCAUGUCUGUUUUUUUGUUCUUUACAGAAUUUGGUUCUAUAAUAUCAUCAUUUAGUGAAUUUUACCUACCUACACAAACAUGAUAUGACAUGCUAUUGCCUGUUCUCUAAGGUAAUGUAUAAAUUUGUUGCUUAGUUAGGAAGAGGUUGAAUCGUGUUGGAUUUGCAGCGAGAGGAAGCCUGUCAACAUGAUGAACAGGGUAGUUUUUACUGAGGGUAGCUCGGCAAGGAAGAGACGGGAUGUUUGUCAUUGACCUACUUUGAAAACGAAGGCUAAAACCGCAGUGGCAGACAUGCUUACAAAAUCUCGUGAAGAUCGUUCUGCUGAUGAUGGUACUCUAACAGAAUAAGAACAGUGGGAAAGAGAGCAAGCCAGCCUUGUUCGUUAUUGAGAGGGGGAAGUUGAAAUCUUACCAGAUAAAGGGCGUUAAGUGGCUAAUAUCACAGUGGCAAAAUGGGCUUAAUGGGAUACUGGGUGAUCAAAUGGGCCUUGGAAAAACAAUUUAGACAAUUGCAUUUCUUGCUCAUCUUAAAGGGAAUGGUCUGUAUCGUCCAUACAUGGUUAUUGCUCUUCCUUCCACCCUGUCAAACUGGUUGAACGACUCAAUGAGGUUUGCUCCUUCUCUAAAUGGUCUGAUUUAUCAUGGAGAUAAAGUGGCUCGGACAGAGCUAACGAGAAACUACAUGCCCAAAACUGUUGGUCCUGGUUUUCCGAUAAUAAUCACUUCAUAUCUGAUGGCCAUGUUUGAUGCAAAGUUUCUUGCUAAUUAUAAGUGGAAGUCACAUGAUCUGAAUUAUUGCCCUUGUAAGCAAAAACUCAACAUUUUAUUCCUUUCUCUUGAGUGCAUUCCUCACUAUUUAAUCAUCGAUGUCCAUAUGCUAGCUUCAUGUUUCAGUCAUAAUUCCUUUCUCUUCGAGGGAAUUUAUGGCCAGGUGCGCUCAUAUACUUCUAUCUUCUAAACAUGCUUUCAUAUGAAUGAGCUGAAGUCAUUUCCUAGAAACUAUGGUGCUUUUACUUUUUAUUUAGGUUGCUUGACCAAGGUUGUUCAGUGAUUGUGUGCACUCCACAUGCAUCGCCAUUUAUCGAGUAAGAAAAAAUGAUAUUUUUCUGAUUAUUUUCACAAGUUAUCAAAAUGCAUUAUUUUACUGACCAUCACAAGUUAACGAAAUGCAUUAUUUUACCGUUUAAAUGAUGCUAAUUGCCUAGGGUCGAUAGUGUAGAAUAAUAGAAUAAUUUUCUACUUAUUUAUCUUGUUACGGUAGUUUUUGUAUAUAAGAAACUACAAAGAUAUAACCAAACCAACUUUCUUUAUCAAAAUUCAUCUAAUAGAGGACCCUAUUGUGUGACAACAUUGAGACACAACAUGGAGCAUUGCAACUGUCACAAUGACAUUGGAGGCAAGGGAAUAUUUUAACUCGGUGUUAAAAAUAUGAAAGGGAAAAAAGAGACGACAUCACAUAUUAUGACCAUGGUAUGUGUAUUGUAGAUUUUUAGAAAUGCAUGGCCAAUAUGUUGUUAUGUCUUGACUUGUCCUUAUGAUUGAGUGCUUGUCAGGAAAUUGCUACGGGACAUAGCUCGGCAAGAAAUGAAUUUUAUUAUGUUGUUGUCAUCAGAUGGUACCUCGGUGAGUAAGUUGAUGAUAGCCUUCUAAUCAUGGGUGUCAAGUCCAAUCAAAUCUGGUUCAGGGCCAUCUUAUUGUGCUCAGAUAUGGAAAGAAUCCGCAGCCGCUCCGUUGCCACUAUUGUUGUCGGCACUUGAUGCAGAGGGGUGAAUGAAAGGAUUAUGUGAAUAAGGAAGAGUGCACGGCAAAGGAGUGGUCCAUACCUUUUUUUUAUCACAAUGAGGGAGUUAACCCACACUAGAUCCAUGAUCUGCUGAAUGGCGGUUGUCUGGUUUGAGCUGAUAGACAGUUGCCAUGGAGAGCGAGGCGGUGUGGGGCACCUCGUGGAUGACCUUGUCUAUGCUUCAUAACCAAAACAUAAUCUUCUUUUGGUUAUUUCAUUUUCUCUGGGAUUUGCCCCCUUAUGCUUCUCUUAUUGCCUCAAUAAAGUUUGGUGUUAUGGCAACUCGCGGGCACAUACCUUGACAAGAGUUUUUUUUAUUUUAAAAGAGGCAAAAGGAUCGCAUGAUAUAUAUCAUUUCAUAUAACUUGGCAGCAAAAACACACUGUGGUUGUCGCCCUCAGCUACAGCGAUGUGCAUUCCUUGGCACCGGGAAUUGGGCUGGGACGUCGUGGAGAGGAGGAGGGGGCGGGCGACACAGUGGAGGGAAGGAGAGAUGGCGGUGAGAGGAAGGUGUGGGAUGAAUGACAUGGCGUCGAGGGAAGGCGGCAGCAAAAAGCCAUGGUGGGGAGAGAUGGCGGCGUCGACGCCGUGACGUGGAGAGCAGUCCGGGGGAAUGAGAUGUGCAUGUGUCGUGCGGUGAGAGUGAGAGAGUGAACUGUUUUGUUUAUUAUAAGAUGAGAAGAAAAUAUGUUGUCGUUUGUGUUUUUAGGGGAAAAUAUUUGUUUGCUGUGAGAGAAAUAUCACUUGCUCAAAGCGAGCAGCUGACAAAUGAAUAUAUAUUGUAUAUGGGCUUAUCUGAUUUUUUUAAAUAUGUGUUUAUAUAUUCCCUUUUGUAGAUUGGAGAUAAGAACUAUGACUUCAGAUGAUGCUUUGAAAGUGUCAACUCACAAAGCUUUAUGAUGAGCGGCCUGAAAACUCAUUGAAGUCUUACACAAUUGGAAGAGAUUUGUACAAAUAAUGGUUCUUCUGUAAUACUUGUUGGAUAUGAUAAUAUAUAAGAUGAAUUUUCAUA